AUUGAACGCUGGCGGAAUGCUUUACACAUGCAAGUCGAACGGCAGCACGGACUUCGGUCUGGUGGCGAGUGGCGAACGGGUGAGUAAUGUAUCGGAACGUGCCCAGUCGUGGGGGAUAACGUAGUGAAAAUUACGCUAAUACCGCAUACGAUCUAUGGAUGAAAGCGGGGGAUCGCAAGACCUCGCGCGAUUGGAGCGGCCGAUAUCAGAUUAGGUAGUUGGUGGGGUGAAGGCCCACCAAGCCAACGAUCUGUAGCUGGUCUGAGAGGACGACCAGCAACACUGGAACGGAGACACGGUCCAGACUCCUACGGGAGGCAGCAGUGGGGAAUUUUGGACAAUGGGCGAAAGCCUGAUCCAGCCAUUCCGAGUGCAGGAUGAAGGCCCUCGGGUUGUAAACUGCUUUUGUACAGAACGAAAAGGUUUCUACUAAUACUAGGAGCUCAUGACGGUACUGUAAGAAUAAGCACCGGCUAACUACGUGCCAGCCGCCGCCGUAA
This 500-nucleotide ribosomal RNA is filed under the name uncultured bacterium. RNAcentral's name for it is "partial 16S ribosomal RNA". It matches the Rfam family "Bacterial small subunit ribosomal RNA", at positions 30 to 523 of the family's 1533-position model. The record is from RNAcentral.